GACGAACGCUGGCGGCGUGCUUAACACAUGCAAGUCGAACGUAAAGGCCCUGCUUGCAGGGUACUCGAGUGGCGAACGGGUGAGUAACACGUGGGUGAUCUGCCCUGCACUUCGGGAUAAGCCUGGGAAACUGGGUUUAAUACCGGAUAGGAGCCAUUUUUAGUGUGAUGGUUGGAAAGUUUUUUCGGCGUAGGAUGAGCUCGCGGCCUAUCAGCUUGUUGGUGGGGUAAUGGCCUACCAAGGCGGCGACGGGUAGCCGGCCUGAGAGGGUGGACGGCCACAUUGGGACUGAGAUACGGCCCAGACUCCUACGGGAGGCAGCAGUGGGGAAUAUUGCACAAUGGGCGCAAGCCUGAUGCAGCGACGCCGCGUGGGGGAUGACGGCCUUCGGGUUGUAAACUCCUUUCGCUAGGGACGAAGCUUUUUGUGACGGUACCUAGAGAAGAAGCACCGGCUAACUACGUG
RNAcentral lists this ribosomal RNA (465 nucleotides) under uncultured bacterium. RNAcentral's name for it is "partial 16S ribosomal RNA". It matches the Rfam family "Bacterial small subunit ribosomal RNA", at positions 28 to 507 of the family's 1533-position model. The record is from RNAcentral.